AUUGAACGCUGGCGGAAUGCUUUACACAUGCAAGUCGAACGGUAGAGGGGGCAACCCCUUGAGAGUGGCGAACGGGUGAGUAAUAUAUCGGAACGUGCCCAGUCGUGGGGGAUAACGUAGCGAAAGUUACGCUAAUACCGCAUACGAUCUAAGGAUGAAAGCGGGGGACCGUAAGGCCUCGCGCGAUUGGAGCGGCCGAUAUCAGAUUAGGUAGUUGGUGGGGUAAAGGCUCACCAAGCCAACGAUCUGUAGCUGGUCCGAGAGGACGACCAGCCACACUGGAACUGAGACACGGUCCAGACUCCUACGGGAGGCAGCAGUGGGGAAUUUUGGACAAUGGACGCAAGUCUGAUCCAGCCAUUCCGCGUGCAGGAUGAAGGCCCUCGGGUUGUAAACUGCUUUUGUACGGAACGAAACGGUGAGUGCUAAUACCAUUUGCUAAUGACGGUACCGUAAGAAUAAGCACCGGCUAACUACGUG
Molecule: ribosomal RNA, 480 nt
Filed under: uncultured bacterium
Lineage: Bacteria
Description: bacterial SSU rRNA
Rfam family: Bacterial small subunit ribosomal RNA
Source: RNAcentral